UAAGACCAGUUGGUGUACUUUGUAGGAAAUCAUUUGAUGAAUGUGAUUUCAUUGAAUUUUGCGAUGGCCUUACCGCACACUGUGUGCCUGACACUUUUGCACGCAAUGGACAGUCUUGUGAUUCAGGUCAAGCCUUCUGUUACGAAGGGCGAUGUCGGCUGCAUACCACACAGUGUAGAGAUUUAAUCGGAGGAGCUUCUAGAGGUGCUCCGUUUGCUUGUUAUGAGGAAGUAAAUUCAAGAGGAGAUAGAUAUGGAAACUGUGGCCGAUAUUAUUGUGAUUUUCCUUUUGUUACCACUAUGCCUGUGUAGAGGUUCGACAUCGGAUCGAUUUUGGGGCGUG
This is a long non-coding RNA of Diceros bicornis minor, 342 nucleotides long. RefSeq lists it as uncharacterized. The transcript is spliced from 3 exons. Lineage: Eukaryota; Metazoa; Chordata; Mammalia; Perissodactyla; Rhinocerotidae. The record is from RefSeq and is a predicted model, not a curated record.